RNAcentral lists this ribosomal RNA (468 nucleotides) under uncultured bacterium. RNAcentral's name for it is "partial 16S ribosomal RNA". It matches the Rfam family "Bacterial small subunit ribosomal RNA", at positions 28 to 507 of the family's 1533-position model. The record is from RNAcentral.
GACGAACGCUGGCGGCGCGCUUAACACAUGCAAGUCGAACGGAAAGGCCCUGCUUUUGUGGGGUGCUCGAGUGGCGAACGGGUGAGUAACACGUGAGUAACCUGCCCUUGACUUUGGGAUAACUUCAGGAAACUGGGGCUAAUACCGGAUAGGAGCUCCUGCUGCAUGGUGGGGGUUGGAAAGUUUCGGCGGUUGGGGAUGGACUCGCGGCUUAUCAGCUUGUUGGUGGGGUAGUGGCUUACCAAGGCUUUGACGGGUAGCCGGCCUGAGAGGGUGACCGGCCACAUUGGGACUGAGAUACGGCCCAGACGCCUACGGGAGGCAGCAGUGGGGAAUAUUGCACAAUGGGCGGAAGCCUGAUGCAGCAACGCCGCGUGCGGGAUGACGGCCUUCGGGUUGUAAACCGCUUUCGCCUGUGACGAAGCGUGAGUGACGGUAAUGGGUAAAGAAGCACCGGCUAACUACGUG